Molecule: ribosomal RNA, 476 nt
Filed under: uncultured bacterium
Lineage: Bacteria
Description: bacterial SSU rRNA
Rfam family: Bacterial small subunit ribosomal RNA
Source: RNAcentral
GAUGAACGCUGGCGGCGUGCCUCAAACAUGCAAGUCGAGCGGGGCUAUGUAAUAUCGCAAGGUAGAACAUAGCCUAGCGGCGAACGGGUGAGUAACACGUGGGUAACCUGCCUGGAAGACAGGGAUAACGAUUCGAAAGGGUCGCUAAUACCUGAUAAUAUCCUUUCAUCGCAUGGUGAUAGGAAGAAAGGGGAAACCCGCUUUCAGAUGGGCCCGCGUCCCAUCAGCUAGUUGGUAAGGUAAAGGCUUACCAAGGCGACGACGGGUAGCCGGUCUGAGAGGAUGUACGGCCACACUGGGACUGAGAUACCGGCCCAGACUCCUACGGGAGGCAGCAGUUGGGAAUCUUAGGCAAUGGACGAAAGUCUGACCUAGCGACGCCGCGUGAGGGAAGAAGGCCUUCGGGUUGUAAGCCUCUGUCAUGGGGGAAGAAGUAAGUGACGGUACCCCAAGAGGAAGCCCCUGCUAACUACGUG